UGUAAGCGUAUACCAAAGUUGUUGCAGUUAAAACGCUCGUAGUCGGAAUUUGGCAGUUCCGGAUGUGUGCACGUCGUGUGCGCACUUCGCGGGGAUUGCUUUUGUGGUCUUGCGUAGGAUGAGGCACUUUUAUUAGUGAACGUCCUCACUCAACCACUUUUUACUGUGAGAAAAUCAGAGUGCUCAAAGCAGGCAUUUGCCGUGAAUGUAUUAGCAUGGAAUAAUAGAAUAGGACUUGGUUCUAUUUUGUUGGUUUGUUGGGACUGAGUAAUGAUUAAGAGGGACAGUUGGGGGCAUUUGUAUUUCGGUGCUAGAGGUGAAAUUCUUAGAUUACCGAAAGACAAACUGCUGCGAAAGCGUCUGCCAAGGAUGUUUUCAUUGA
This 382-nucleotide ribosomal RNA is filed under the name uncultured eukaryote. Its description in RNAcentral is "partial 18S ribosomal RNA". It matches the Rfam family "Eukaryotic small subunit ribosomal RNA", at positions 592 to 976 of the family's 1831-position model. The record is from RNAcentral.